UAAUCUGCGAUAAGCGCCGGUAAGGUGAUAUGAACCGUUAUAACCGGCGAUACCCGAAUGGGGAAACCCAGUGUGACUCGUCACACUAUCAUUAACUGAAUCCAUAGGUUAAUGAGGCGAACCGGGGGAACUGAAACAUCUAAGUACCCCGAGGAAAAGAAAUCAACCGAGAUUCCCCCAGUAGCGGCGAGCGAACGGGGAGGAGCCCAGAGCCUGAAUCAGCAUGUGUGUUAGUGGAAGCGUCUGGAAAGGCGCGCGAUACAGGGUGACAGCCCCGUACACAAAAGCGCAUGUGCUGUGAGCUCGAUGAGUAGGGCGGGACACGUGGUAUCCUGUCUGAAUAUGGGGGGACCAUCCUCCAAGGCUAAAUACUCCUGACUGACCGAUAGUGAACCAGUACCGUGAGGGAAAGGCGAAAAGAACCCCGGCGAGGGGAGUGAAAAAGAACCUGAAACCGUGUACGUACAAGCAGUGGGAGCACAGGUUUACCUGUGUGACUGCGUACCUUUUGUAUAAUGGGUCAGCGACUUAUAUUCUGUAGCAAGGUUAACCGAAUAGGGGAGCCGGAGGGAAACCGAGUCUUAAUUGGGCGUUAAGUUGCAGGGUAUAGACCCGAAACCCGGUGAUCUAGCCAUGGGCAGGUUGAAGGUUGGGUAACACUAACUGGAGGACCGAACCGACUAAUGUUGAAAAAUUAGCGGAUGACCUGUGGCUGGGGGUGAAAGGCCAAUCAAACCGGGAGAUAGCUGGUUCUCCCCGAAAGCUAUUUAGGUAGCGCCUCGUGAAUUCAUCUCCGGGGGUAGAGCACUGUUUCGGCUAGGGGGCCAUCCCGGCUUACCAACCCGAUGCAAACUGCGAAUACCGGAGAAUGUUAUCACGGGAGACACACGGCGGGUGCUAACGUCCGUCGUGAAGAGGGAAACAACCCAGACCGCCAGCUAAGGUCCCAAAGUCAUGGUUAAGUGGGAAACGAUGUGGGAAGGCCCAGACAGCCAGGAUGUUGGCUUAGAAGCAGCCAUCAUUUAAAGAAAGCGUAAUAGCUCACUGGUCGAGUCGGCCUGCGCGGAAGAUGUAACGGGGCUAAACCAUGCACCGAAGCUGCGGCAGCGACACUGUGUGUUGUUGGGUAGGGGAGCGUUCUGUAAGCCUGUGAAGGUGUGUCGUGAGGCAUGCUGGAGGUAUCAGAAGUGCGAAUGCUGACAUAAGUAACGAUAAAGCGGGUGAAAAGCCCGCUCGCCGGAAGACCAAGGGUUCCUGUCCAACGUUAAUCGGGGCAGGGUGAGUCGACCCCUAAGGCGAGGCCGAAAGGCGUAGUCGAUGGGAAACGGGUUAAUAUUCCCGUACUUGGUGUUACUGCGAAGGGGGGACGGAGAAGGCUAUGUUGGCCGGGCGACGGUUGUCCCGGUUUAAGCGUGUAGGUGUGUGUUCCAGGUAAAUCCGGUUCACUUUAACACUGAGGCGUGACGACGAGGCACUACGGUGCUGAAGCAACAAAUGCCCUGCUUCCAGGAAAAGCCUCUAAGCAUCAGGUAACAUCAAAUCGUACCCCAAACCGACACAGGUGGUCAGGUAGAGAAUACCAAGGCGCUUGAGAGAACUCGGGUGAAGGAACUAGGCAAAAUGGUGCCGUAACUUCGGGAGAAGGCACGCUGACACGUAGGUGAAGUGAUUUACUCAUGGAGCUGAAGUCAGUCGAAGAUACCAGCUGGCUGCAACUGUUUAUUAAAAACACAGCACUGUGCAAACACGAAAGUGGACGUAUACGGUGUGACGCCUGCCCGGUGCCGGAAGGUUAAUUGAUGGGGUCAGCGCAAGCGAAGCUCCUGAUCGAAGCCCCGGUAAACGGCGGCCGUAACUAUAACGGUCCUAAGGUAGCGAAAUUCCUUGUCGGGUAAGUUCCGACCUGCACGAAUGGCGUAAUGAUGGCCAGGCUGUCUCCACCCGAGACUCAGUGAAAUUGAACUCGCUGUGAAGAUGCAGUGUACCCGCGGCAAGACGGAAAGACCCCGUGAACCUUUACUAUAGCUUGACACUGAACAUUGAGCCUUGAUGUGUAGGAUAGGUGGGAGGCUUUGAAGUGUGGACGCCAGUCUGCAUGGAGCCGACCUUGAAAUACCACCCUUUAAUGUUUGAUGUUCUAACGUGGACCCGUUACCCGGGUUGCGGACAGUGUCUGGUGGGUAGUUUGACUGGGGCGGUCUCCUCCUAAAGAGUAACGGAGGAGCACGAAGGUUGGCUAAUCCUGGUCGGACAUCAGGAGGUUAGUGCAAUGGCAUAAGCCAGCUUGACUGCGAGCGUGACGGCGCGAGCAGGUGCGAAAGCAGGUCAUAGUGAUCCGGUGGUUCUGAAUGGAAGGGCCAUCGCUCAACGGAUAAAAGGUACUCCGGGGAUAACAGGCUGAUACCGCCCAAGAGUUCAUAUCGACGGCGGUGUUUGGCACCUCGAUGUCGGCUCAUCACAUCCUGGGGCUGAAGUAGGUCCCAAGGGUAUGGCUGUUCGCCAUUUAAAGUGGUACGCGAGCUGGGUUUAGAACGUCGUGAGACAGUUCGGUCCCUAUCUGCCGUGGGCGCUGGAGAACUGAGGGGGGCUGCUCCUAGUACGAGAGGACCGGAGUGGACGCAUCACUGGUGUUCGGGUUGUCAUGCCAAUGGCACUGCCCGGUAGCUAAAUGCGGAAGAGAUAAGUGCUGAAAGCAUCUAAGCACGAAACUUGCCCCGAG
This 2719-nucleotide ribosomal RNA is filed under the name Salmonella enterica subsp. enterica serovar Enteritidis. Its description in RNAcentral is "partial 23S ribosomal RNA". It matches the Rfam family "Bacterial large subunit ribosomal RNA". Lineage: Bacteria; Pseudomonadati; Pseudomonadota; Gammaproteobacteria; Enterobacterales; Enterobacteriaceae. The record is from RNAcentral.